This 273-nucleotide unclassified non-coding RNA is filed under the name Hevea brasiliensis (rubber tree). The record is from RNAcentral. Lineage: Eukaryota; Viridiplantae; Streptophyta; Magnoliopsida; Malpighiales; Euphorbiaceae.
GCUGCCCCUCAACUGAAUUUACACAGGACAAAGUUUCUUGCUAUGGCCUUUUUUGUCUGCAGAUCUUGCGAGUGUAUAAUUGCUUUGGCUAUUUGCCUUCUUGUAGAUUUAAAAGAAAAAUGAAGAGAGAAAAUUCUUUUGGUAUGCAUAAAGAAAGAAACAGUGAUGAUCUUUAAAUUAAGGAGCAGUACUUACCGUACUUCUCAUCUGCUCAGCUUGAAGAGCAAGCGCAAAAGCAAUGAAAUCAAGAACAAAUACCACCUUGAAUAGAAG